CUGAGUCAAAGCAUUAUUUUUAAUUAGAGGGCUUUUGACUGACCCUAAAGGAACUUAAGUUGGUUUUCCCACUCUCCCAGUACCACUUUCUGAUCACACUUUUCUUCCCCAUUCUUUCCAAAUCAUUGCAACUGCUAUCAAGAUUCAUUUUACAUUCCUAAGUGAGUUCAGCAACUGGCUCCCUCCUUCUUUCUUUCUACUUUGAACCAUUCACUACUUUAUAACAUCUUGGAUACUGACUCAUUGGAUCCCUUGACUUCACCUGGAACACAAUUUUAUUUGUAUACUGAAAAAGCUCAUUCUGAGAAGGAAUCUCUAGUGCACCACAAGCUGCCCAAGGAAGCCAUGAUACAAGAAAAGAUCAUGAACAUAAGGAUUCAUUUUGGGAAUGGACAUGACGCCCAUGAUAGCUAUGCAUUCACAGGACUUGGGCUAAUCAGAACAUCUUCCCUCCACUCCAAAGGACAGGUGGAAGCAUCUCACUCCUUGCUGUUAAGAGCAGAACGCAUGUGAGGUUCAUUGGGGUGUUUUGCAGAAGACAACAACACCUUUCAAUUAAUUUCAAUUCAUUUCAACAUCUGUGAAGUACAGAAGAAUAGGACCAGUUCCAAAAAUGAGCAUAUUUGCUCAUACUGAGAACUCAGAAGGAAGGUGAAAAUGUAAAGUUCCUUCAUUUUGAAAACAAUAAUAGCUGACAGAAAUCCUUUCCCAAGUUAAUAAAAAUCAUGUAACUAUU
Monodelphis domestica (gray short-tailed opossum) is the source of this 736-nucleotide long non-coding RNA. RefSeq lists it as uncharacterized. Lineage: Eukaryota; Metazoa; Chordata; Mammalia; Didelphimorphia; Didelphidae. The record is from RefSeq and is a predicted model, not a curated record.